RNAcentral lists this ribosomal RNA (497 nucleotides) under uncultured bacterium. RNAcentral's name for it is "partial 16S ribosomal RNA". It matches the Rfam family "Bacterial small subunit ribosomal RNA", at positions 28 to 507 of the family's 1533-position model. The record is from RNAcentral.
GAUGAACGCUGGCGGCGUGCCUAAUACAUGCAAGUCGAGCGAAAAGACGAGGAGUUUGCUCCUCUGACGUCAGCGGCGGACGGGAGAGUAACAUGUGUUUAACCUAACUAUAAGACUGGGAUACUUUCGGGAAACCGUGGCUACUACCGGAUAAUAUAUUGACUUGCAUUGUUCACUAGUGAAAGUCGGUUUUGCUGUCACUUAUAGAUGGCUCAGCGCAGCAUUAGUUAGUUGGUGAGGUAACGGCUUACCAAGGCUACGACGCGUACCCGACCCAAAAGGGUGGUCGGCCACACUGGAUCUGAGACACGUCCGAGACACCGGCAGGAAGCAACAGUACGGAAUCUUCCGCGAGGCACGAGAGCCUGAUGGAGCAACACCGCGGGAAGGAUGAUGGUCCACGGAUCCGAGAGCGCUGUUAGUAGGAGAGAACAAAUGUUUAAUUAACUAUGCUCAUCUUGACGGUACCUAAUGAAAAAGCCACGGCUAACUACGUG